AGCAGCCGCGGUAAUUCCAGCUCCAAUAGCGUAUAUUAAAGUUGUUGCAGUUAAAAAGCUCGUAGUUGAAUUUCGGGGUCAGUGAGUUGGUCGUGCCACUGGUAUGCACUGGCUUUACUGAUUCCUCCUUCUUGAAGAACUGUAAUGCUAUUAAUUUAGUGUUGCAGGGAAACAGGACUGUUACUUUGAAAAAAUUAGAGUGUUUAAAGCAGGCUAACGCUUGAAUACAUUAGCAUGGAAUAAUGAAAUAGGACGUUUGAUCCUAUUUUGUUGGUUUCUAGGAUUGACGUAAUGAUUAAUAGGGAUAGUUGGGGGCAUUAGUAUUCAAUUGUCAGAGGUGAAAUUCUUGGAUUUAUUGAAGACUGACUACUGCGAAAGCAUUUGCCAAGGAUGUUUUCAUUAAUCAAGAACGAAAGUUAGGGGAUCGAAGACGAUCAGAUACCGUCGUAGUCUUAACCAUAAACUAUGCCGACUAGGGAUCGGAUGAUGUUAAUUUUUAAUGA
Molecule: ribosomal RNA, 503 nt
Filed under: uncultured Glomus
Lineage: Eukaryota; Fungi; Glomeromycota; Glomeromycetes; Glomerales; Glomeraceae
Description: SSU rRNA
Rfam family: Eukaryotic small subunit ribosomal RNA
Source: RNAcentral